Molecule: ribosomal RNA, 496 nt
Filed under: uncultured bacterium
Lineage: Bacteria
Description: partial 16S ribosomal RNA
Rfam family: Bacterial small subunit ribosomal RNA
Source: RNAcentral
AUGAACGCUGGCGGCGUGCCUAAUACAUGCCAGUCGAGCGAACAGACGAGGAGCUUGCUCCUCUGACGUUAGCGGCGGACGGGUGAGUAACACGUGGAUAACCUACCUAUAAGCCUGGGAUAACUUCGGGAAACCGGAGCUAAUACCGGAUAAUAUAUUGAACCGCCUGGUUCAAUAGUGAAAGACGGUUUUGCUGUCACUUAUAGAUGGAUCCGCGCCGCAUUAGCUAGUUGGUAAGGUAACGGCUUACCAAGGCAACGAUGCGUAGCCGACCUGAGAGGGUGAUCGGCCACACUGGAACUGAGACACGGUCCAGACUCCUACGGGAGGCAGCGGUAGGGAAUCUUCCGCAAUGGGCGAAAGCCUGACGGAGCAACGCCGCGUGAGUGAUGAAGGUCUUCGGAUCGUAAAACUCUGUUAUUAGGGAAGAACAAAUGUGUAAGUAACUAUGCACGUCUUGACGGUACCUAAUCAGAAAGCCACGGCUAACUACGUG